Microcebus murinus (gray mouse lemur) is the source of this 2082-nucleotide non-coding RNA. The record is from RefSeq and is a predicted model, not a curated record. NCBI's taxonomy places the organism in Eukaryota, Metazoa, Chordata, Mammalia, Primates, Cheirogaleidae.
CCCUAGCCUGGGGGUCCGGCUACAUCCUACCGGGCUGCUUCUUUCGAUCGUCCCACUCACGGGGCGCACGGAUUUAGAAGCUCCGAGAGGCCGGUGGUCUGAGGACAAAUAAGACUCCUGGCCAUAGUUCGCCGCGACCUCACGUCAGGCCUUCAACAAGCUACUCUUCUAAGCCUGAGGCCUCAUUCAUAUUCCCCUUGUCUUCCUUCCAGGAGAAAGACUCUGAGGGAGGAGGGACCUGUCUUAAAGGAAAUUCCCCUGCUGGGAAGAAGGGAAGACCCUGAACAAUUGUGUACCCCACUGGUUUCAAAUGAGUAACUGGUUGUUCCUGGUUGGCCUUGAAUUUGUGAUAACUGAGUUCGGUCAGCUCCAUAUCAACACCUGUAACUUAGCAACUGCAGCUUCAGCAGGCAAAAGACAGACAGUUUAACAAACUUUGCAUUUUAACUCUAAAGUGGCAUUGUCCAUAUGAGCUCUGAAAUUUUCUUGAUGUAACUUGCCCAUCAGUUUAAACAUAUGCAUGAGAAUAGUACACAGAAUGUGGAGACUACUGGGAGUCCUAGAAAACCUGACAUCUCUUUAAACUUUCUCAUAGACAGUAUCUUUAUAUGUAACAUACUACUAUAGAUAAACACUCAUUACAAAGAGAAAUUUCAAAGGUUUCAACCACAAGCCCAGGAAUACCACAUUAGACAAAAUAAAACUGAAAACAAAUAGAAUACUUCGAAUCAAUUUCUACACAGGGAGACUGGAGAGAAGUUUUCAAGAAUCUCAUCUCUAACCAACCAUUACCGCCAUCAAUCUGUUCUAGGUCCAAAUGGCAUAAAAGCCCAAAAGGCAGAGACAGAGAUUUCCCAGUGUACAACUUUUACAUUUAGGGCUUGAAUUCUUAUUUCCAAAGUCACACAAACAAACACAGUCACACACCAAAUGGACUGUAGUUCCAACAAAUAAGCCUAGGGAGUGCCAAAUCCAAACAGUCGGAGGUCCUGUUCUCUCAAAUGAAUGGUUAAGGCUUCCAACCCAAAUAGGAUUUCUCCUGAAAUACCUUAAAUGGACAGAGGAGCCUGAAGGUCCUAUCUCCCAAAUGGCUGAGGCCUCCAGGGAGGCUCCCAACACAAAAGGGAAUUCCAGAGAGUUUCCUCAGAUGGAGAGAGGAGUUACUCCUCUGUGCGGCGAGGUACCUUAAAAUACCCUCACCGGUCCAGAUACAAACACCAAAAUCCAACGGUCAAAGGUCCAUUCCUCUAUGACAAUCAGGGAUGCCUUAAGAUGUCAGUCCCUGAUUUUCUUCACAGUGUAUCUUUACAAUCAGUUUGGGGAAUGAUCGUGUUAGGGAGAGAGGGACAGUUAUGAGGAGAGACAGUUAGGGGAAUUGUCACUCAUGAUUCUUUAUUAUUUGAGAGGCUAAGAAAAAUAUCUAGUCAGUAAAACACACUAGUGUAUCCUUAAUGCUUAAAAAAGAAAAUCCAUCCAGUCUGCAGUUGUGAAUAUGUGCAAAAUAUCAAUAAUAAUGCCUUGGGGGCUAAGAUGAACAGAGAACAUCAAUCAGCCAGGACUCCAGAAGAAAAGUUUCAAAAAUGAUAAGUCCUUCAAUGCUAUUCUCAUUACUGUUCUCACCACGUCAAUGGCUAUAAAAGACUUUUGAUUAUUUAUCUCCAGCUGACAAAUAUGAUUGAUUGGAGAUAACCACACAGUCUCAGGCUUCACAUGUAAAGCUGUCACAAGCGGCUAAAGGACAGCAGUUUCAUGCUCAAGACACCCAUCUCCUCUGACUCCAGAGCUCCACCAUCUGGUCUCAAAGUUUUUCCCUCUGAGGAAACAGCUGUAGAGAGGUAGCCCAGUUCAAUCUUGCUGACAGACACAACACUGCAACCACAGUGACACCUACUGACUUGCUGAGAGAGAGAGAGAGAGAGCUGGCUUUGCAAUGAUUAGCUCCACAGCUCCUGAGAUUGCCUCACAAAUAAGUCCUCUUGGGCAGGAGGCAGAGCGGUGCAUCAGAACAACAUGAUGAAUUCUGGUGAGACUUGGCUUUUAGGAAUAAAACAGAUGGCUCUUCUUUCUCCUUUGAGUGUUUUC